AGAGUUUGAUCAUGGCUCAGAGCGAACGCUGGCGGCGUGCUUAACACAUGCAAGUCGAGUGCGCGUCUGUAGCAAUACAGAUGGCGCACGGCGCACGGGUGCGUAACACGUGGGUAAUCUGCCCUUCGAUGGGGAAUAACUCGCCGAAAGGCGAGCUAAUUCCGCAUAACAUUCCUUGAACCUCGGUUUGGGGACUCAAAGCCGUAAGGCGUCGGAGGAGGAACCCGCGCACGAUUAGCUAGUUGGUAGGGUAACGGCCUACCAAGGCUUUGAUCGUUAGCUGGUCUGAGAGGAUGGCCAGCCACACUGGAACUGAGACACGGUCCAGACUCCUACGGGAGGCAGCAGUGGGGAAUCUUGCACAAUGGGCGAAAGCCUGAUGCAGCGACGCCGCGUGGGGGAUGAAGCUUUUCGGAGUGUAAACCCCUUUCGACCCGGACGAAUGCCCCGCAAGGGGACUGACGGUACGGGUAUAAGAAGCCCCGGCUAACUACGUGCCAGCAGCCGCGGUAAGACGUGGGGGGCCAGCGUUGCUCGGAAUUACUGGGUGUAAAGGGUUCGUAGGCGGUGUAGCAAGUCGGGAGUGAAAUCUCUGGGCUCAACCCAGAGACUGCUUCCGAAACUGCUGUGCUUGAGUGUGGGAGAGGCGCGUGGAAUUGCAGGUGUAGCGGUGAAAUGCGUAGAUAUCUGCAGGAACACCCGUGGCGAAAGCGGCGCGCUGGACCACUACUGACGCUGAGGAACGAAAGCUAGGGGAGCAAACAGGAUUAGAUACCCUAGUAGUCC
Molecule: ribosomal RNA, 786 nt
Filed under: uncultured bacterium
Lineage: Bacteria
Description: bacterial SSU rRNA
Rfam family: Bacterial small subunit ribosomal RNA
Source: RNAcentral